GACGAACGCUGGCGGCGUGCUUAACACAUGCAAGUCGAACGAAGAGCGAUGGAAGCUUGCUUCUAUCAAUCUUAGUGGCGAACGGGUGAGUAACGCGUAAUCAACCUGCCCUUCAGAGGGGGACAACAGUUGGAAACGACUGCUAAUACCGCAUACGAUCUAACCUCGGCAUCGAGGAUAGAUGAAAGGUGGCCUCUACAUGUAAGCUAUCACUGAAGGAGGGGAUUGCGUCUGAUUAGCUAGUUGGAGGGUAACGGCCCACCAAGGCGAUGAUCAGUAGCCGGUCUGAGAGGAUGAACGGCCACAUUGGGACUGAGACACGGCCCAGACUCCUACGGGAGGCAGCAGUGGGGAAUCUUCCGCAAUGGACGAAAGUCUGACGGAGCAACGCCGCGUGAGUGAUGACGGCCUUCGGGUUGUAAAGC
Molecule: ribosomal RNA, 425 nt
Filed under: uncultured bacterium
Lineage: Bacteria
Description: bacterial SSU rRNA
Rfam family: Bacterial small subunit ribosomal RNA
Source: RNAcentral